This 59-nucleotide microRNA precursor is filed under the name Echinops telfairi (small Madagascar hedgehog). RNAcentral's name for it is "Ete-Mir-504-v1_pre stem-loop". It matches the Rfam family "mir-504 microRNA precursor family", at positions 11 to 69 of the family's 78-position model. Lineage: Eukaryota; Metazoa; Chordata; Mammalia; Afrosoricida; Tenrecidae. The record is from RNAcentral.
AGACCCUGGUCUGCACUCUAUCUGUAUGCUUACUGAGGGGAGAGCAGAGCAGGGUUUCC